GAUGAACGCUGGCGGCGUGCCUAAUACAUGCAAGUCGAACGGAGUAUAGCAAUAUACUUAGUGGCGAACGGGUGAGUAACACGUAGGUAAUCUACCUUUAAGACGAGGACAACAGUUGGAAACGACUGCUAAUACUGGAUAGGACCUAAGAACAUAAGUUUUCUGGUUUAAAGUUUUAAUACACUUAAAGAUGAGCCUGCGGCGCAUUAGUUAGUUGGCAUGGGUAAAAGCCUACCAAGACAAUGAUGCGUAGCCGGACUGAGAGGUUGAACGGCCACAUUGGGACUGAGAAACGGCCCAGACUCCUACGGGAGGCAGCAGUAGGGAAUUUUCGGCAAUGGGCGAAAGCCUGACCGAGCAACGCCGCGUGAAGGAUGAAGUAUUUCGGUAUGUAAACUUCUUUUAUAAGGGAAGAAAUGAUGCGAAGAGCAUUUUUGACGGUACCUUUUGAAUAAGCCCCGGCUAAAUAUGUGCCAGCAGCCGCGGUAAUACAUAUGGGGCGAGCGUUAUCCGGAAUUAUUGGGCGUAAAGGGUGCGUAGGCGGCAUAAUAAGUUGAAGGUUUAAUGUAGAUGCUCAACAUCUGAGUAGCUUUCAAAACUGUUAAGCUUUUGAGUGUGGUAGAGGUAAGUGGAAUUCCAUGUGUAGCGGUAAAAUGCGUAAAUAUAUGGAGGAACACCAGCGGCGAAGGCGGCUUACUGGGCCAUUACUGACGCUGAGGCACGAAAGCGUGGGGAGCAAACAGGAUUAGAUACCCUGGUAGUCCACGCCCUAAACGAUGAGUACUAUAUGCUAGAAUUAAUCUAGUGUUGUAGCUAACGCUUUAAGUACUCCGCCCUGAGUAGUACGUACGCAAGUAUGAAACUUAAAGGAAUUGACGGGACCCCGCACAAGCGGUGGAUCAUGUUGUUUAAUUCGACGAUACGCGAAGAACCUUACCAGGCCUUGACAUACCCAGCAAUGCUUAAGAAAUUAAUGCGGAGGUUAUCUGGGAUACAGCCCCCCGCAUGGUUGUCGUCAGCUCGUGUCGUGAGAUGUUCGGUUAAAAAAAAAAUAACGAGCGCAACCCCUAUUUCUAGUUACUAAUGUGUAAUGACAAGGACUCUAGAGAGACUGCCAUAAUGGAGGAAGGUGGGGAUGACGUCAAAUCAUCAUGCCCCUUACGGCCUGGGCUACAAACGUGAUACAAUGGCUGGCUAACAAAGUGAUGCAAGACUGCGAGGUUAAGCAAAUCACAAAAAAACAGUCUCAGUUCGGAUUGAAGUCUGCAACCCGACUUCAUGAAGCCGGAAUCGCUAGUAAUCGCAAAUCAGAAUGUUGCGGUGAAUACGUUCUCGGGGUUUGUACACACCGCCCGUCAAACCACGAAAGUCCAUAAUACCCAAAACCGGUGGCCUAACAAGUAAUUGAGGGAGCCGUCUAAGGUAGGGUGGGUGAUUGGGGUU
RNAcentral lists this ribosomal RNA (1443 nucleotides) under uncultured Bacillota bacterium. RNAcentral's name for it is "bacterial SSU rRNA". It matches the Rfam family "Bacterial small subunit ribosomal RNA". The record is from RNAcentral. Lineage: Bacteria; Bacillati; Bacillota.